UACGGGGGGGGCAAGCGUUGUUCGGAAUUACUGGGCGUAAAGGGCUCGUAGGCGGCCAACUAAGUCAGACGUGAAAUCCCUCGGCUUAACCGGGGAACUGCGUCUGAUACUGGAUGGCUUGAGUUUGGGAGAGGGAUGCGGAAUUCCAGGUGUAGCGGUGAAAUGCGUAGAUAUCGGGAGGAACACCAGUGGCGAAGGCGACUCCCUGGCCUGUUCUUGACGCUGAGGCGCGAAAGCUAGGGGAGCAAACGGG
Molecule: ribosomal RNA, 253 nt
Filed under: uncultured bacterium
Lineage: Bacteria
Description: partial 16S ribosomal RNA
Rfam family: Bacterial small subunit ribosomal RNA
Source: RNAcentral